CACAUGUUAACUGCGUGUGCAUUGAUAGUACCAGAAAAGGAAGAGACGGCUAACUCUGUGCCAGCAGCCGCGGUAAUACAGAGGUCUCAAGCGUUGUUCGGAUUCAUUGGGCGUAAAGGGUGCGUAGGUGGCGCCGUAAGUCAGGUGUGAAAUUUCGGAGCUCAACUCCGAAACUGCAUUUGAUACUGCGGUGCUUGAGGACUGGAGAGGAGACUGGAAUUCACGGUGUAGCAGUGAAAUGCGUAGAUAUCGUGAGGAAGACCAGUGGCGAAGGCGGGUCUCUGGACAGUUCCUGACACUGAGGCACGAAGGCCAGGGGAGCAAACGGGAUUAGAUACCCCGGUAGUCCUGGCAGUAAACGGUGCACGUUUGGUGUGGGAGGAUUCGACCCCUUCUGCGCCGGAGCUAACGCGUUAAACGUGCCGCCUGGGGAGUACGGUCGCAAGAUUAAAACUCAAAGAAAUUGACGGGGGCCCGCACAAGCGGUGGAGUAUGUGGCUUAAUUCGAUGCAACGCGAAGAACCUUACCUGGCCUUGACAUGCAUCUCUAAGUUGGUGAAAGCCAGCGAGUCCCGAAAGGGACAAUUUGCACAGGUGCUGCAUGGCUGUCGUCAGCUCGUGUCGUGAGAUGUUGGGUUAAGUCCCGCAACGAGUGCAACCCCUGUGAACUGUUGCCACCCUCUUUAUUGGAGCACUCUGUUCAGACUGCCCUGUGAAACGGGGAGGAAGGUGGGGACGACGUCAAGUCAGUAUGGCCCUUACGGCCAGGGCUGCACACGUACUACAAUGCUCAGUACAGAACGAUCCGAGACCGCGAGGUGGAGGAAAUCCCUUAAAGCCGUUCUCAGUUCGGAUUGGAGUCUGAAACCCGACUCCAUGAAGUUGGAAUCGCUAGUAAUCGCGCAUCAGCCGUGCCGCGGUGAAUACGUUCCCGGG
Molecule: ribosomal RNA, 936 nt
Filed under: uncultured bacterium
Lineage: Bacteria
Description: bacterial SSU rRNA
Rfam family: Bacterial small subunit ribosomal RNA
Source: RNAcentral